CCCAGACUCCUACGGGAGGCAGCAGUGGGGAAUAUUGCACAAUGGGGGAAACCCUGAUGCAGCGACGCCGCGUGAGUGAAGAAGUAUUUCGGUAUGUAAAGCUCUAUCAGCAGGGAAGAAAAUGACGGUACCUGAUUAAGAAGCCCCGGCUAACUACGUGCCAGCAGCCGCGGUAAUACGUAGGGGGCAAGCGUUAUCCGGAUUUAUUGGGUUUAAAGGGUGCGCAGGCGGCACGGCAAGCCGGCGGUCAAAUCGCGGGGCUCAACCUCGCUCCGCCGUUGAAACUGGCGUUCUUGAGUGGGCGAGAAGUAUGCGGAAUGCGUGGUGUAGCGGUGAAAUGCAUAGAUAUCACGCAGAACUCCGAUUGCGAAGGCAGCAUACCGGCGCCCAACUGACGCUGAAGCACGAAAGCGUGGGUAUCGAACAGGAUUAGAUACCCCCGUAC
This 445-nucleotide ribosomal RNA is filed under the name uncultured bacterium. RNAcentral's name for it is "bacterial SSU rRNA". It matches the Rfam family "Bacterial small subunit ribosomal RNA", at positions 330 to 793 of the family's 1533-position model. The record is from RNAcentral.